Molecule: long non-coding RNA, 261 nt
Filed under: Vicia faba (fava bean)
Lineage: Eukaryota; Viridiplantae; Streptophyta; Magnoliopsida; Fabales; Fabaceae
Source: RNAcentral
AUGGCGGAGCGUGCUUCUCACGGACUGGCUCCUCGAUUAGAUAUUCAGCAGUUACAUCGUGAAGCCCAGCAUCGGUGGUUACGUCCUGCAGAAAUAUUGGAAAUUCUUAGUAAUUUUAAGUUGUUUCAAAUCACGCCAGAACCGCCUAAUAGGCCACCGAGUUUUGAGAUAUUUCAGAAAGGAUGGACACAACUGGAGAAAGAAGAAAGAUGGAAAAACUGUGAGGGAAGCUCACGAAAAGUUGAAGGUGGGAAGUGUUGA